This 305-nucleotide ribosomal RNA is filed under the name uncultured bacterium. Its description in RNAcentral is "bacterial SSU rRNA". It matches the Rfam family "Bacterial small subunit ribosomal RNA", at positions 334 to 654 of the family's 1533-position model. The record is from RNAcentral.
UGUACCUACGGGGGGCAGCAGUGGGGAAUAUUGGGCAAUGGGCGCAAGCCUGACCCAGCAAUGCCGCGUGAAGGAAGAAGGCUUUCGGGUUGUAAACUUCUUUGACAGGGGAAGAGACGAAGACGGUACCCUGAAAACAAGCCACGGCUAACUACGUGCCAGCAGCCGCGGUAAUACGUAGGUGGCGAGCGUUGUCCGGAUUUACUGGGUGUAAAGGGCGUGUAGCCGGGCAGGCAAGUCAGAUGUGAAAUCCAUGGGCUCAACCCAUGAACUGCAUUUGAAACUGCUUGUCUUGAGUACUGGAG